UGAACGCUGGCGGUAGGCUUAACACAUGCAAGUCGAACGGCAGCACAGUAAGAGCUUGCUCUUACGGGUGGCGAGUGGCGGACGGGUGAGGAAUACAUCGGAAUCUACUUUUUCGUGGGGGAUAACGUAGGGAAACUUACGCUAAUACCGCAUACGACCUACGGGUGAAAGCAGGGGAUCUUCGGACCUUGCGCGAUUGAAUGAGCCGAUGUCGGAUUAGCUAGUUGGCGGGGUAAAGGCCCACCAAGGCGACGAUCCGUAGCUGGUCUGAGAGGAUGAUCAGCCACACUGGAACUGAGACACGGUCCAGACUCCUACGGGAGGCAGCAGUGGGGAAUAUUGGACAAUGGGCGCAAGCCUGAUCCAGCCAUACCGCGUGGGUGAAGAAGGCCUUCGGGUUGUAAAGCCCUUUUGUUGGGAAAGAAAAGCAGCAGGUUAAUACCCCGCUGUUCUGACGGUACCCAAAGAAUAAGCACCGGCUAACUUCGUG
RNAcentral lists this ribosomal RNA (490 nucleotides) under uncultured bacterium. RNAcentral describes it as "partial 16S ribosomal RNA". It matches the Rfam family "Bacterial small subunit ribosomal RNA", at positions 30 to 507 of the family's 1533-position model. The record is from RNAcentral.